GAUGAAGAACGCAGCGAAAUGCGAUAAGUAAUGUGAAUUGCAGAAUUCAGUGAAUCAUCGAAUCUUUGAACGCACCUUGCACCCUUUGGUAUUCCGAAGGGUAUGCUCGUUUGAGUGUCAUUGUACUCUCACACUUCUAAUUCCUUUCGGGAUUGGGAGCGGUGGACUUGGGUGUUGCUGCUUUAGUUGUGGCUCACCUCAAAUAAGUUAGUGCAACUCUUGGUUGGACAUAGUACGGCGUGAUAAGUGUCUUCGCCGGCGCCUCUGUAAGGAGGGUGGCCGAUCGGGAGCUCUGUGCUUCAAACCGUCUUCGGACAAUCUUUGACAACUUGACCUCAAAUCGAGUAGGACUACCCGCUGAACUUAAGCAUAUCAAUAAGCGAGGA
RNAcentral lists this unclassified non-coding RNA (386 nucleotides) under soil metagenome. RNAcentral describes it as "partial contains 5.8S ribosomal RNA, internal transcribed spacer 2, and large subunit ribosomal RNA". The stretch from base 1 to 120 matches the Rfam family "5.8S ribosomal RNA", at positions 35 to 154 of the family's 154-position model. The record is from RNAcentral.